CCGCCCGUAGCUCAGCUGGUAGAGCAGGGGACUCUUAAUCCCAAGGUCGAAGGUUCGAAUCCUUCCGGGCGGA
Molecule: transfer RNA, 73 nt
Filed under: Candidatus Colwelliibacteriota bacterium
Lineage: Bacteria; Candidatus Colwelliibacteriota
Description: tRNA-Lys
Rfam family: tRNA
About the family: Transfer RNA (tRNA) molecules are approximately 80 nucleotides in length. Their secondary structure includes four short double-helical elements and three loops (D, anti-codon, and T loops).
Source: RNAcentral